This 501-nucleotide ribosomal RNA is filed under the name uncultured bacterium. RNAcentral describes it as "partial 16S ribosomal RNA". It matches the Rfam family "Bacterial small subunit ribosomal RNA", at positions 30 to 523 of the family's 1533-position model. The record is from RNAcentral.
AUUGAACGCUGGCGGCAUGCCUUACACAUGCAAGUCGAACGGCAGCACGGGUGCUUGCACCUGGUGGCGAGUGGCGAACGGGUGAGUAAUAUAUCGGAACGUACCUUAUUGUGGGGGAUAACGCAGCGAAAGCUGUGCUAAUACCGCAUAAUCCCUUAGGGGGAAAGCGGGGGACCGUAAGGCCUCGCGCAAUUAGAGCGGCCGAUACCUGAUAAGCUAGUUGGUGAGGUAAAGGCUCACCAAGGCGACGAUGAGUAGCUGGUCUGAGAGGACGAUCAGCCACACUGGGACUGGGACACGGCCUAGACUCCUACGGGAGGCAGCAGGGGGGAAAUUUGGACAAUGGGGGCAACCCUGAUCCAGCAAUGACGCGUGAGUGAAGAAGGCCUUCGGGUUGUAAAGCUCUUUUGUCAGGGAAGAAACAGCAGCUCUAACACAGUAUGCGAAUGACGGUACCUGAAGAAUAAGCACCGGCUAACUACGUGCCAGCCGCCGCAGUAA